Molecule: long non-coding RNA, 645 nt
Filed under: Olea europaea subsp. europaea
Lineage: Eukaryota; Viridiplantae; Streptophyta; Magnoliopsida; Lamiales; Oleaceae
Source: RNAcentral
AUGUUAUCACACAUACAAUCAUACUCAGUUUGAUGGUAUUUUCGACGAUUGCAAUUUCUUCUUUCCAGCUAGAUAGAUCUCAACAAUACGACUUCUUAUAUCCACUGAUCUUUUAGGAGUAUAUUUAUGAACUUGCUCAUGAUUAGGGGUUUAAUAGAUUGAUUUUGUUGGAAAAUCCAGGUUAUGACAAUAAAUCCGGUGUACUAAUUGUAAAACACUUAAUUACUUGAAUGUAUCAACAAAUCAUUUUCUUAUUUCUGCUAAUUAUUCUAACCAAAAUCAAUUUUUGGGGCGCAAAAGGAAUUUGCAAGCUCAAUUCAUAUCAGAGGGGAUAGCAUUUAUUGUGGAAAUUCCUGCGAUUAAUACUUUCUCUAGAAGGGAAAAAAUGAUAGUAAAAUCUCAUAAUUUACGAUCAAUUCAUUCAAUAUUUCCUUUUUUAGAGGGCAAUUUUUCACAUUUAAAUUUUGUGUUAGAUAUACUAAUACUCCAUCCCAUCCAUCUGGAAAUCUUGGUUCAAACUCUUCGAUAUUGGGUAAAAGAUGACUCUUCUUUGAAUUUACUAAGAUUCUUUCUUCAUUGUGCCAAAGAUAAGCAACAAAGUUGUUAAAAAAACUUACCAAACAAAGAUCACACGAACACAAUUCU